CCUACNGGCUGCACCAGUGGGGAAUAUUGCACAAUGGGCGCAAGCCUGAUGCAGCCAUGCCGCGUGUAUGAAGAAGGCCUUCGGGUUGUAAAGUACUUUCAGCGAGGANGAAGGCGUUAAGGUUAAUAACCUUAGCGAUUGACGUUACUCGCAGAAGAAGCACCGGCUAACUCCGUGCCAGCAGCCGCGGUAAUACGGAGGGUGCAAGCGUUAAUCGGAACUACUGGGCGUAAAGCGCACGCAGGCGGUUUGUUAAGUCGGAUGUGAAAUCCCCGGGCUUAACCUGGGAACUGCAUUCGAAACUGGCAAGCUUGAGUCCUGUAGAGGGGGGUAGAAUUCCAGGUGUAGCGGUGAAAUGCGUAGAGAUCUGGAGGAAUACCGGUGGCGAAGGCGGCCCCCUGGACAAAGACUGACGCUCAGGUGCGAAAGCGUGGGGAGCAAACAGGAUUAGAUACCCGUGUAGUC
Molecule: ribosomal RNA, 465 nt
Filed under: uncultured bacterium
Lineage: Bacteria
Description: bacterial SSU rRNA
Rfam family: Bacterial small subunit ribosomal RNA
Source: RNAcentral